RNAcentral lists this transfer RNA (76 nucleotides) under Cordylochernes scorpioides. RNAcentral describes it as "tRNA-Thr". It matches the Rfam family "tRNA". Rfam says of the family: Transfer RNA (tRNA) molecules are approximately 80 nucleotides in length. Their secondary structure includes four short double-helical elements and three loops (D, anti-codon, and T loops). Further hydrogen bonds mediate the characteristic L-shaped molecular structure. tRNAs have two regions of fundamental functional importance: the anti-codon, which is responsible for specific mRNA codon recognition, and the 3' end, to which the tRNAs corresponding amino acid is attached (by aminoacyl-tRNA synthetases). tRNAs cope with the degeneracy of the genetic code in two manners: having more than one tRNA (with a specific anti-codon) for a particular amino acid; and 'wobble' base-pairing, i.e. permitting non-standard base-pairing at the 3rd anti-codon position. Lineage: Eukaryota; Metazoa; Arthropoda; Arachnida; Pseudoscorpiones; Chernetidae. The record is from RNAcentral.
GUCCAGGGUAGCCUAGUGGACAUGGCAUCUGCCCGGUAAGCGGAACACUGUGGGUUCGAUUCCUAUUCCCUGGACA